Hyaena hyaena (striped hyena) is the source of this 69-nucleotide small nucleolar RNA. RefSeq annotates it as small nucleolar RNA SNORD61. The record is from RefSeq and is a predicted model, not a curated record. The transcript has a single exon. Lineage: Eukaryota; Metazoa; Chordata; Mammalia; Carnivora; Hyaenidae.
GCUGUGAUGAAUUUGAUUAUGCUGAUCGUCUGACAUGAUAUAUUUUGUCCUCUAAGAAGUUCUGAGCUU